This is a long non-coding RNA of Orcinus orca (killer whale), 2014 nucleotides long. RefSeq lists it as uncharacterized. The transcript has 3 exons. Lineage: Eukaryota; Metazoa; Chordata; Mammalia; Artiodactyla; Delphinidae. The record is from RefSeq and is a predicted model, not a curated record.
CAUUUGGAGAACCUGAUAUUAAGACUGCAGAAAGAUGUCUUCUCAACAUCAGCAGUGCAAGCAGCCCUGCCAGCCACCACCAGUGUGCACACCAAAAUGCCAUGACCCUUGCCCACCUUGCAAGUGUCCAGACCCUUGCCCACCUUGCAAGUGUCCAGACCCUUGCCCACCUAUAAAGUGCCCUGACCCAUGCGUGCCUCAGCAGUGCAAGCAGAAAUGCCCUCCUGGGGCACCUGUUCAACAUUGCUAGCAGAAGUGGCCACCCAAGAGUAUGUAAGAGCUUGAGCUUUUAUCUGCAUCUGGAAAGGAUAAGGACAAUCAGCUCAACUAGUUCCAGAGCUCCACCUUCCUCUUCUCUUCAAAGCCUAUCAUGGAUACGGAAGAAGCUUCUCCACCCUUCAGCCUCAAUAUGCGAGUGCUGCUUCCUGACAGACAGAGGUUUCUUACCUGCGGGUGCUGUACUGCUUCCCUCUGGGAGGUGCCCAAGAAAGCAUCGCAGAGCCUCAGAAGGAAGAGCAGCCGCUCUCCUCCUGGGCACCCUCUGAGGAUUCUCUCGCUGUCUUCUGUGUCGGUCGGUCACCUGGGCAUGGGUUUCUACCAGCUGAGCAAUUGUUACUUAUCCUCCACGUCCUGAAUAAAAUACAGUUCUUUUGUGAGAUGGGAAAAUAUUUUCUUUCUUUGCAAACCUGCUUUUAGCAAUAUCAUAUGAUAAUUUUGCUUGAUUUCUAUCCUUCUUUGAUCCCGAGUUUCAGGCUUUCACAGUCAGUGUUAUCUGAAUUUUGAGUCGUAUCAAUGAUUAUUUCUAUACAGUUAAAAAUCCAGGUUAUUUUCCUAAUUAUUGCUUGACUCAUUUAAAGAACAAGUUUUGUAACUUCUUGGGAUUUCAAAUCCUUUAAUAAACUCUGGGGAAAAUCACAUUUACAGUGCCAACUUGCUUAGGCAUAAAAAUUACAUGAAUGUGUGUCAUUCAGUUGGCACAAUGCCGAGCAUGUAAUUGGCAUUUGAGAGGUGCCCGAUCAUCAUUGUCCCUGUCAUCAUCACCGGUACCACCACCAACACCGUCACCACCUCCCCCAGGUGCUCCGAGCAGGGGAGUGGCUCUGACAUACCUCGUAGAGCAAGCAAGGAGAUUCUUAAACUCUAUUACCCAUUCAUAUUCUGUGUUGUUUUCCUUUUCCAAUUUAACCGAAUUUUUAAUCUGACACCACAGAAUAACCAGUUUGGGAAAUUAUUGGGAUACUCUGUAUAAAAUUAUAAUAGUUCUGAAAACAUGGGUAGUACAAAAGAAAGGGAAUUUAAAGGGACCUUACCAGACAAAGUGCUACCUGUUCUCCAUGUGUACAACGUGCUCUUCUUACUGCAAAACUCAACAACCACAGGGUCUUAUUAUAUUUUUUCACCUUGGAAAUUACAUUCUUGAAUGUUUUGACCCCACCUUUGAGAUACACUGGGAAUUCCAAUGUUUAUCUUGAUUUACAAAAUGACUGUUGCUAUGCAGCUUGUUUUCCAAGCUGGUCCAGUAAUCUGUGAAAAGGGAGGUGUUCAUUAAGCGUAUCCCUUCUUGUGGUUAGAAGUAAAGGAGUCAAAGAUGCCAGAACUGCAGAAGCAAACAUAUGCCCAUGUUACUGUUCAACGCUCAUCAGAUUAUGACAUGAGUGGAAAAUCAACAGUGCUAUUUGGGAGAUGUCUCUACUGUAGCUACUGUUAUUUGACCUGACAUGGAAAUUAGUUCUUUGAGGUGGGAUGCUCCUGUAACAAAUCUUAAAAUUGAGGCAUUGGCUUAUGUGUCUGGAGGUGGUUGGAAAGGAAUCUGAUAUUGGAAGCCGUAAAUGUGGUGCUACAUGUUAUUCAAAGGAAAAGUGUUUGAAGUAAUGGUUGUCCAUGGUAUCUUUAGAGGCAAAGCAAUGGUUGCUCACUUGCUGAUUUGCCCAGGGUAUUUCAGGAGAUGUAUGUUCAGGAAAAUCUUUCUGGUUGACAGGCCAGAAAUGUAAAGAAUGAAAAGAAAAAUAAUACA